CACAAGUUUGUGGGGCCUGAGCCUGAGCUCUAUGAUGGAUCUUUUGGUCCAAGACACUCACAGGAGACUCCAUAACUGCAUAUUGAAAUGGGAGCAGGUUAUUUAGUAUUGCAUCUACCUCCAAUGAGUUUAUGUAACAGAUUUCUUACAGAAAGUGUUGGUGUAGAGGCCGAGAAACCUUUUCCUUACCUUGGCUUGUCUAUAGUCCAUUUAUAAACACAUCGUGGGGAGGCAGAGAAAGAUUGAGAGACACACGCAGAGGGUGUGAUAGAGUCUCCAGGCCUGGCCAUGCUGGAAGGAACAGAGCCACAGAGAAAAGGGCAAAUUAACUGAUCCCACCCUGGAAAGGCUCUGAGCUUCUCUAGUGAAAAUUGUAUUCCAGAGUGAUCACUUACCAUCAGUGGGCUUUGGGUGCAUCAGAAUAAGAGGCAGCUCAACACCAACAUCGCUGGAAGGAAAAGCACACAUCUCUUAAAGGGGAAAAUUACACAGAGACAGUUGUGAGGGAAGAGCACAGAAUAUGUUAAAUCCUCCUGAACUGAUGGCCUUUUCAAUGGGCAUGAGUACAGGUCUGGCUGUCUCUCCUCAGGCUUGCUUAUAGCACCCUGGCAAUCAUUGAAACAUCCCACAAUACUUUGCAACAAUCAGAUAAUCAAAAUCGUAAUUAAAACUGA
Mauremys mutica (yellowpond turtle) is the source of this 674-nucleotide long non-coding RNA. RefSeq lists it as uncharacterized. The record is from RefSeq and is a predicted model, not a curated record. The transcript is spliced from 3 exons. NCBI's taxonomy places the organism in Eukaryota, Metazoa, Chordata, Testudines, Geoemydidae.